RNAcentral lists this non-coding RNA (109 nucleotides) under Desulfobacula sp. Its description in RNAcentral is "TPP sequence". It matches the Rfam family "TPP riboswitch aptamer (THI element)". From Rfam's summary of the family: Vitamin B(1) in its active form thiamin pyrophosphate (TPP) is an essential coenzyme that is synthesised by coupling of pyrimidine and thiazole moieties in bacteria. The previously detected thiamin-regulatory element, thi box was extended, resulting in a new, highly conserved RNA secondary structure, the THI element, which is widely distributed in eubacteria and also occurs in some archaea. Analysis of operon structures identified a large number of new candidate thiamin-regulated genes, mostly transporters, in various prokaryotic organisms. Lineage: Bacteria; Pseudomonadati; Thermodesulfobacteriota; Desulfobacteria; Desulfobacterales; Desulfobacteraceae. The record is from RNAcentral.
UUAAGUCACUAGGGGUGCUUUUUAUUAAAGGCUGAGAGAAGCUGAAACCUUCAACCCUUGGAACCUGAUCCGGUUAAUACCGGCGUAGGGAAAGUGUAUGAGGCAACCG